CACGUAGGGCGCAAGCGUUGUCCGGAAUUAUUGGGCGUAAAGAGCUCGUAGGCGGUCUGUUGCGUCCGCUGUGAAAACUCGGGGCUUAACCCCGAGCCUGCAGUGGAUACGGGCAGACUAGAGGUAGGUAGGGGAGAAUGGAAUUCCCGGUGUAGCGGUGAAAUGCGUAGAGAUCGGAAAGAACACCAACGGCGAAAGCACUCUGCUGGGCCGACACUGACACUGAGAGACGAAAGCUAGGGGAGCGAAUGGG
Molecule: ribosomal RNA, 253 nt
Filed under: uncultured bacterium
Lineage: Bacteria
Description: partial 16S ribosomal RNA
Rfam family: Bacterial small subunit ribosomal RNA
Source: RNAcentral